UAAUAAGUGUUCUAUGGCACUUUUUAAAUCCAUAUCCACCUUGUGUGCAAUGUCAGUUGAUCUUCUUAUGGAGAUCGACCAAACAUCAACCUAUUUUUUAACUCUUUGUCUGAAAAAUAUUAUGAAUAAAUAAUUCAAAAUA
This 142-nucleotide unclassified non-coding RNA is filed under the name soil metagenome. Its description in RNAcentral is "partial internal transcribed spacer 1". The record is from RNAcentral.